GCGCUGUGGUUGCUAGGUGCUGUUCAGGUCUAGCUUUCCAGUAGAUGGAAUGAGCCAGAGCAAUAAUGUGAUGUGUGCAUGGGGGCUGCUCUUUUCAGGAGCCUCUUCAACCCCGUCACUGGUACAUGG
Molecule: small nucleolar RNA, 129 nt
Organism: Echinops telfairi (small Madagascar hedgehog)
Lineage: Eukaryota; Metazoa; Chordata; Mammalia; Afrosoricida; Tenrecidae
Product: small nucleolar RNA SNORA84
Exons: 1
Source: RefSeq, a predicted model, not a curated record